AAAUAGAUGCAUUAUAUGGUUCCUGAAUUGCUUCAUAUGGUUAACUGAUUUUUUUGGCAAACAGAAUAUUUAAAUGCCAUCAUUUCAUUGAGGAAUGCGACUGGGACUCAAUGCAAAUGAGAUGGAGAAGGGGCCUAGCAGCACAUGUCCCAAUGUUGUGUGCUUGUGGGAGACUAAGGUUGUUGAUAUUGCACCAAAAAUCAGGCCGGUCUACUUAUCAGGCUCACGGGAUUGACCACCUAGUGAUUUCUACACGAGACUACCUCUUUGCUCCUUCAUUUGUGGAUAUUAGCAAAGCCAUGAACUUCAUUCAUAGCAAUGGAACUCCCCAUGCUCCGUCCAGAGAAAUUUGUGAAGCUUGGCAAUGAUCCUCCGAAGGGGGUGCUCUGCUAUGGUCCUCCAGGAACAGGAAAAAGUUUACUAGCUAGAGAUGUAGCCAACAAAAUUGAUGCCUGCUUUACUUGUGUUAUUGGAAAUGAGCUUGUUCAAAAAUAUGUUGAGAGGGAGCCCAGAUGGUUCGUGAGCUUUCGUAGGUUGCUACUAUGACAUUUAAUGAAUUUAUUUAACAGAGAUUAGAAGGUUUUCUUACUGUUAGUUCUAUUCAGAUUCUCUGCUAGUUCAUUUUGGCUG
This is a long non-coding RNA of Magnolia sinica, 630 nucleotides long. RefSeq lists it as uncharacterized. The record is from RefSeq and is a predicted model, not a curated record. The transcript has 3 exons. NCBI's taxonomy places the organism in Eukaryota, Viridiplantae, Streptophyta, Magnoliopsida, Magnoliales, Magnoliaceae.